This 73-nucleotide transfer RNA is filed under the name Stegodyphus mimosarum. It matches the Rfam family "tRNA". Rfam says of the family: Transfer RNA (tRNA) molecules are approximately 80 nucleotides in length. Their secondary structure includes four short double-helical elements and three loops (D, anti-codon, and T loops). Further hydrogen bonds mediate the characteristic L-shaped molecular structure. tRNAs have two regions of fundamental functional importance: the anti-codon, which is responsible for specific mRNA codon recognition, and the 3' end, to which the tRNAs corresponding amino acid is attached (by aminoacyl-tRNA synthetases). tRNAs cope with the degeneracy of the genetic code in two manners: having more than one tRNA (with a specific anti-codon) for a particular amino acid; and 'wobble' base-pairing, i.e. permitting non-standard base-pairing at the 3rd anti-codon position. Lineage: Eukaryota; Metazoa; Arthropoda; Arachnida; Araneae; Eresidae. The record is from Rfam by way of RNAcentral.
GCCUUCGUGGUGCAGUGGUCAGCACGCUCGGCGCGUAUUCGAGAGGUCCGUGGUUCGAAUCCCGGCGAAGGCU